Long non-coding RNA from Vespa crabro (European hornet), 2236 nucleotides. RefSeq lists it as uncharacterized. NCBI's taxonomy places the organism in Eukaryota, Metazoa, Arthropoda, Insecta, Hymenoptera, Vespidae. The record is from RefSeq and is a predicted model, not a curated record. The transcript is spliced from 4 exons.
AGAGAGAGAGAAAGAGAGAGAGAGAGAGAGAGAGAGAGAGAGAGAGAGAGAGGAAUCGUGUCCGCGCGCGCGUACUAGCGGGCGCACGCGGGAAAUGCAACGGAGCCGGCUACUAUUAUACAGACGUGACCCUUGUCCUUCAAACGGCCUUUCUACGAGCGUACGGCAGCUCGACUGGGUGUAGGUACGCCAUACGUGUCGCAUACCUAACGAACGCGCGUACCAUGCGACGAGAAAGCCGGCCACCGACGCACCCGUCGUUGACGACGACGUCGUCGUCGUUUCGACGUAUACUACGUUUAUUCUAUAUUACAUAGGUACGUUGUACACCUACGUACGUACACAUGUAUGUAUGUAUAUAUGCGAUGAUCGCCCGAGCGCAACGACCGGCUGCCGGUUCGACAUAACCUACGAUUCUUCUAUACCAGUAACGUAAUCACCGAACCACGAACCACGUCCCUUUUAUCUUUCUCAAGAAAUAUUUAUUUUAAUGGGAAAAUGUCUAUCGAAUAUUUUUCUUUUUUUCUUUUUUUCUUUUUUCCUUUUCUUUUUUUUCCUCUCUUUUUUCUUUUCUUUUUUUUUACGAUCGAACGAACGGUUUACAUCGUGCGAGUCUUAAUCGUUGGUCGUAUAAUUAUUGUAGAUAUAGGUAUACGACGAGAGGACAGAAGCGAUUGACGAAUCGAAAUCGGAUAUAAGUAAGUUAUAUCUGAAAAAUAUUUUCUCCGAUUGUCUUUCUAGAUCUUUUUUAUUUAUUUAUUUUAUUUGAAUUAUUUUUUAUUUAUUUCUUCCUUCUUUAUAUUUUCAUUUAUUUUAUUUCUUUCCUUUUUUAAGUAAAAUUUUUUACAGAGGAAAAAUAUACAAGAGGGAUCUCGAGUUAUGCGAACAGUGAGUACACAUAUAUCCGGACGGUCGGUCCAUCGGUGAGAGUACGCGACGAUUAAAAAUACGCAACGCGCAGCACGCGCCUGAAUAGCGUGGUGCCGGCGAACGACGUAUGCGUACACGUUGGGUAUGCGUAUGUAUGUAUACGCGUGUGAUCGUGCGUGCGUGCGUGCGCGUAUGUGUGUCUCUCGUUAAAUAGACGAGUGUUCAGCGAUACGAGUAUACCGAAGACGACGAAGACGAAAACGAAGACGACGGAGUUUAGAGGAACGUUGUUUGUCCGUGAUAAGAGGACAAACCGUACUCGGCUAGUGGCGCCUGUAUCGUAGCCAGUGACGGAUCGGGUGAGCUUGAGGCACGGUGCCACGCGUGCCAUCGAGCUCCAAAAAUUGAUUGCCAUCCCAUUAUGUGUUGCGCUUUCGAUUCCUCGCGUAACUUCAUUGCGACGUGUGUGGUCCCCGAUUACGUGGGGAUUGUGGAUAGGGAGGGAAAGGACAGGGAUCAUUUUCGUCGUGACCUUCGCACAUUAUAACGAAGAAAACCAAAGAGAAAUUUUACGAACAAGUUCGUAUGUCCGUCGCGCUGUUUACCUUGAAGUUCCCCUCCUGAAGGUCCGCAAGAAGAAGAAGAAGAAGAAGAAAAAGAAGAACUUUCAGAAGAGAUAUCCACCAUAUCGGCUUCUAAUGCAUCUUAGCGAAGUGAGACGUACAAAUGACGACGACGAUUAUGAACCAAUCGAUUGAAAUUGUAAUAUCGAAGGAUUGAAAUAACUCUAGCUUCGUCAAAGAUAAAAAUUACACGGAACGGGAGGAAUAAACUCUUAUAUCGUAGUUUCUGCGGUAUAGCUGCGAUCGAUGAUAGACAUAGGAAAUAAAAAAAAAGAAAAGAAAAAAAAAAGAAAAAAAAAAAGAAGAAGGAAAGAGAGAGGGAGCGAGAGAGAAACAGGAAAAUGAAACUUUUAUCCCCUUCGCUUUUGAUCUAUAAAUUGCUGUUUUGAUCUAUAGAUCGCUGUCUCUACUGAGCGACAGGUGAAUCGACGAUGCAUUCGUCGACGUCUUUCACGAAUAUCUUAUCCUCUUCUAUCCGGCAACAUGCAUAUAUUAUAUGAAGGAAAAAAAAACGACAAAAAAUAAAAAAGAAGAAGGUAAAAAAAAGGAGAAGAAGAAGAAAUAAACACGACCAAAGCCGUAAAAUGUUUCUUAAUUUUUCUCUUUCUCUCUUGCUAGCUAUCUCGAAAAAUUAUUCCACGUGCUUUUACACGCUUAUUCUCACCGAAAGUACGUCUUAUUGUUAAUAAACAAUAUAUAUAUAUAUAUAUAAAGUGAAUGAUAUAUGUGAGUAUAUGUGUCUA